This is a non-coding RNA of Brassica napus (rape), 125 nucleotides long. The record is from Rfam. NCBI's taxonomy places the organism in Eukaryota, Viridiplantae, Streptophyta, Magnoliopsida, Brassicales, Brassicaceae.
GGAAUAUAAGAACAUGUCUCUUAAUUUUUAAUUAAAAAAGCUAAGAACUGGCUCUUAAAUAAGAUAUUUAAGAGCCGGUUCUUAACUUUUUUAGUUAAAAGUUAAGAAACGGGUUCUUAUAUUCC